CGUGACACCCCUUCUCUCCAUUUUUUCUUUUUUUUUUCCCAGUUACGUUACUGCUUUCCUUGUCCGAAGGUUGUCGAUUUCUUCUCUCUUGGCUUAGGUCAGGAGCAGUCGGCAGUUUUGUAUCGGUUUGGGAUAGAAUCUCGACAUCAAAUAUUUCUGGUUGCAUCGUUGGGUUGGGACUUGAGAUUUCUGCCCUAGACUGCCUCUCCGAGUUGGUCUAUUUCGAUUUCUAUUGUGUGGCAAGGGUAAAAAUUCCUAUUGUGCCUUGUGGAUUCGAUUUGUAUUUAUAUUGGCUGAUUUUUUUUUAAACUCAUUUGAUCACUUUCGAUGCAUAAUGUUUAAAUUGGCGCUUGCUUUGUGGUCUGAUCUGUGCUUUCUCUGGAAAUAUUCGUUUGUAAAUUUCGAAGGUUUCUUCCUAAUUAAAUUUGAAUGGGUUAUUUCUAGUUGCUAGGAUUAUUUGAUUUGAUAGUUGGCAAGUAUGGUUUGGUCAGAAAAGUAUGGAAGAUUUUGUGUCAAUAUUCUGAACUGAAAGUGAAAAAUGGUUUGGUUGGGUAAUUGUCUUCGUGGGUUGGCUAUGAUAAUUUUUUCUUUUCGAUAAGUAGGUUGACUAUGCUAAAAUGAAGCUGGCGUGUAGUCUGAGUUGAGUUUAUUUUGAGUGGAGUACAAUUCGGUUUUUUCGAGUCUAUUUAGUUUAAUGCAUGUUUCGGCUAAAGAGAAGAGUUUGAACAAACUGUAGGUGAUAUUUAGCUGCAAAAAACAGCGAUCUAAUUUUUUUUGUUAAGUUCUGGAAAUUAGAAUACAGGGAUGAUAUUUAUGAGGAAGUUUAUCAAAAUUGAUAAUCCAUUGGAUUGGUUUAACUUGGGAAUGCCGAUGGUUGCUAUGUUGGUUGAACAAUGUAGUAAUUGGGGCCGUGAGGAUUAUUCUGCAUAGUGCAGGCUUUUAUCAGAAGAUAUUAAUUGGUCUUAUAGAUGUUAAGUUCAGUUUGGAGUCUGAGUAUAUUAAUUGGUCUUAUACAUGUGGCUGGGCAGCAACUAUGAUUUUUUAUUUUUGGCUAAACAUUGCUAGUAUUUGCAUGUGGUAUGUAUGGCAGCUAAUACUUGACAGUUUUUUUAUUUGAUACUAGAACUGGACAGUUUUGUAUUAGAUGGAAUAACUGGACAGAUUUGAUGGACUUUCCUUUGGUUAGAUACUAUAACUGGACAGAUUUUGUAUUUGCAAUAUUUCAGUCAAAGUGACAUGUUUUGUAUUCUAAUGUUAAGUUUGGAAAUGGCAUGUAUAGUGGGUUGGAUUUAUGUUCUCUAUUGUUUUACAUUUGCACUGAGUUUGGAAAUGGCAUGUAUAAGUUUUGUAUUUGCACUGAGUUUGAAAAUGACAUGUUUUGUAUUCUAAUGUUAAGUUUUAUUUUUGCACUGAGUUUGGAAUGGCUAUUGUUUAUAUUUGCACUGAGUUUGGAAAUGGCAUGUUUUGUAUUCUAAUGUUGAGUAUUAUAUUUGCACCGAGUUUGGAAAUGACGUGUAUGAAUUGGACUGGAACAACUAGACAGUUUUGUAUUAGCUUAGCAUGCUCAUCGUGGUUGCUGAAACUCUUGACAUUUCUGUUGUGUGAGGAGUGGGUUGGAUUUAUGCUCACAAUCCUGGGCAGCAAUUAAUGAUCCCUCUGCAUAAAUGGUGUCUAUGUCCAACAAACCAAGAAGAAAUUGCAGAACCAUUGAGUGGAGAAGACCGGGCCUCCACUUGUGAUCCUUCUCCUCCCUCUUUCAUUUUUCUUUUUGUUUUCAGUUUCUCUCACUCUCCCAUCUUGACCAAUCACUUUGAUCCAAAUCUAUGCUUCAAAGCCUAUGGGCUCCUUAUGGCAACUGUUUUUUGCAAGGAUCUUGGAUUAAGGCAGUUCUGCCUGGAGGGGGACUCAAAACAGGUAGUGGACCUACUGAACCAAGAUAGUUCCAAUUGGAGCAUGGGUGGAUGUCUCAUAACAGAUGCCAAAACUAUUCUAAAUUCGGCUGCUGCUUGAUCAGUUUCACAUGUAUAUCGUGAGGCUAAUAUGGCAGCUCACAUGUUAGCAAAGGCUGCACUCGAUUGCAUUGAAGAUGUUUAUGAUAUUGAGAUGUGUCCAACCUGUAUUCUUCCUUUGGUUACUAAGGAUAUGAGUAGAUCUGAUUCCUUUACUUUGUAUUAUCAAGUUUCAUUUUCAGAGACACAGUUGACUGCAACUCCGCUUGUUGAAUCGACGAUCGCACACUGGUUCUUUGACAAAGUAGUAGCAAUUUUAAUGUGAACUUCAGUUGUUUCUGUAUCUGGGUUUUGAUAGUUUUUAUCAGGUUUUAUAGGUUUGAAGCUUAUGGUCAGCUUCAAGAUUGCUUUUCUUUUUCAUUUGGUAUUAGAGAUGGAGGAUCAGGAGCCCCAUUUGGGAAAUUAAAGAAUCAAUUGUGAGUUAGUUUAUCGAUCUUCAUACAGUUGUGUAUCUUUCUUUUUAUCAAAGUUGAGAUUGUAUAAUCUAA
Molecule: long non-coding RNA, 2497 nt
Organism: Juglans regia (Persian walnut)
Lineage: Eukaryota; Viridiplantae; Streptophyta; Magnoliopsida; Fagales; Juglandaceae
Exons: 3
Source: RefSeq, a predicted model, not a curated record